ACUUUACAACUUUGUCAAAAAUUAAUUGGGCACAAAGAUGAGUGUUUAUUUCUGGACUCUCAGUUCUUUUCUGUUGAUCUAAGUGUCUGUGCUUAUGCCAGAAUCACAUUCUUUUGAUUUCUGUAGCUUUAUAGUUAGUUUUGAUACUGGAAAGUGUGAGUCUUUCAACUUUGUUCUUAGUUUUCAAUAUUGUUUUGGCUGGGUCCUUUGCCCUUCUAGAUAAAUUUUAAGAUCAGAUUGCCAAUUUCUGAAAAAAACAAAAAACAAAAACCAAAAACCAAUUUCUAUAUUUUGAUACAAAUUGCAUUGACUCUAGCGAUCGGUUUGGGGAGAAGUGCCAUCUUGAUAAUAUUGAAGCUUCCAGUCCGUGGUCUUGGAGCCACUCAGGCUCCCGUCUUCAGUCCUCUCAGCACCGUGGCGUGGUUUCCACGUAGUUUCCAGUGUGCAGGCCUUGCACUUCCUGUCUUCAGGGUAUUCCUGAGUACGUUAUUCUUUUUGGUGUCAUUGCCAGUGGAAUGGUGUUACUGUUCUUUUCAAGCUCUUCAUUGAUGGCAUAUAAAAAUAAAAUUGAAUUUUGUUUAGUUUAGUUUUUUUUUUAAUGUUUAUUAAUUUUUGACAGAGAGAGACAGAGUGCUAACGGGGGAGAGGCAGAGGGAGGGGGAGACACGGAAUCGGAAGUAGGCUCCAGGCUCCGAGCUGUCAGCACAGAGCCCAAUGUGGGGCUUGAACCCAUGAACAGCGAGAUCAUGACCUGAACGGAAGUUGGACGCUUAACCGACUGAGCCCCCCAGGUACCCCCAAAAUAAAAUUGAAUUUUGUAUAUUGAUCUUGGAUCCUAUGACCCUGUGGAAGUUGUUUAUUAGUCCUCAUUUUGUUUUUGUUUUUGCUUUUGUGUCGUUUGUGGAUUUUUUUGGUACGGGUUCCUUGGGGUGCUCAACAUAUGGGACCAUGUUUCUGCAAAUAAAGGCAGUUUUACUUCUUCCUUUCCAAUCUCUAUGCCCUUUAUUUCUGUUUCUUGCCGGAUUGUACUGGCUGGAACUUCCUAGUACAAUGUUGGCCAGAAGUGGCAUUCCUGAUCUUAGGGCAGAGCAUCAAGUCUUUUGCCAUUAAGUAGGAUGUUAGCUGUAGAACUUUUUGUAGUGCUCUUUGUUGGCAUGGAACAGUUUCAUUCUGUCUGAGUGUUUAGAGUUUUUUUGAGUGAGUGUUGGAUUUUGUCAAAUGUUUACUUCACUUAUUGAGAGGCUCAUGCGGUUUAUGUCCUUUAUUUUAUUUAUUUUCAGAUGUUAAACCAACCUUGAAUUCCAGGGACAAAUCCCAUUUGGUCGUGCAGCUUUAGGUUCACAGCAACAUUGGAAGAAUGUGGAGAUUUCCUGUGGAACUCCUGUCCUCCCAGCUGUGAACAUCCCCACCAGAGUAGUGCAUUUGUUACAAUCGGUGAACCUACAUUGACAAGCCAUUAUCACUCAGACUCCCUAGUUUACAUUAGCGUUCACUCCUGAUGUUGUAAUUCUGUGGAUUUGGACAAAUUUAUAAUGAUACAUAGCCACCAUUAUCAUAAAGAGUGUUUUCACUGUCCUUAAAAUCGUCUGUACCCCACCGACUUAUCCUCUUUCCCUCCUAACUUCUGGAAACCACUGGUCUUGUUGUUCCUGUGUUUUGCCUUCUCUGGGAUGUCAUAUCAUCGGAAGCAUGCGGUCAGUAUGUCACCUUUUCAGAUUGACUCACUUCACCUACCAACAUGCAUUUAAAGUUCCUUCGUGUGUAUUUGUGGCUUAAGAGCUCAUUUCCUUUUAGUGCUGAAUAGCAUUCCAUUCUUUGGACGUACCACGGUUUAUCCGUUUACCUACUGGAGGACACCUUGGUGGCUUUCAAGUUUUGGCAAUUAUGAAUAAAUUAUGGAUCGAGCUGCUGUAAA
Neofelis nebulosa (Clouded leopard) is the source of this 1915-nucleotide long non-coding RNA. RefSeq lists it as uncharacterized. The record is from RefSeq and is a predicted model, not a curated record. The transcript is spliced from 2 exons. NCBI's taxonomy places the organism in Eukaryota, Metazoa, Chordata, Mammalia, Carnivora, Felidae.